This 27-nucleotide non-coding RNA is filed under the name Rattus norvegicus (Norway rat). Lineage: Eukaryota; Metazoa; Chordata; Mammalia; Rodentia; Muridae. The record is from RNAcentral.
UGGACAUCGAAGUGCUGUCUGUGCUGG